AGGGCAUGAUGUAGUGAGAUACAUCUCUGUGUAUAUAGCUCAGGUUUUAGAGCAUAGCUCUAGUAUGGUAUUUUGGAAUUGGUGUAUGGUUCUGGCAUCUUUUAAAAGCUAAUUGGCGCAGCACUAGAUGCACCUGGUAAGCUGGGACCUGAUAAUGUAGUAAGAAUCAUCUUCUUAUGAGUAUUGGGCUUAGUUGCUACCAAGUACUGACAGCGAUAAGUAAGGUGAGUUGGAGGAUGUUAUCAGAUAGUACUCCCUCCGUCCCACAAUAUAAGAUCGUUUUGCAAGCUGUUUUAACUUGCAAAACGAUCCUGUAUCAUGGGACGGAGGGAGUAACUGAGAUGCAAGUUGAGGAUGUCGUGCCAAAUGAGCGGAUCGUUUGUGUUUAUAUUUCUCUGUUCUUUUGACCAUGUCAUGUGCUGAAGCUUUUAAUAUAUUUACUUUUGCUACUCUAGUGCAUAAUAAUCUAGAGCUUGGGCAAUCUGAAUACUUCCGUUGUCAUGGCACAAUUCUGGAUUAUAGUGUUUGCAUAGUUAAGUGUGAAUGUCGGUUCCCAUGUCCAUCUGAUAAUAACUGAAAUUAAACAAGGAAGAGGAUGUUCGGAACAAAAGAACCUGGAAAUUGGUCGUGGGAGGACUAGGACGGAGGUCUGGGUCUGAACAAACUUUCUAAUGAGUUGGUCUGCAUGUUCAAGAUCGAGGGAGUAACAUCAUACGAACGACUCAGUAUGUUUGCAUACAACACAUAAUUUAUACUAUCAGAGAAAAGCCUUUGCGUGAUGCGAGAUAAAAGAUUUUGCUCUUGUAAAAUGUGAAACAGUGGAUACUGGAUUCAAAUUUGCUGUCCUAUCGAGCAGGUGUCAUGCUUUGUACUUCCUCUGUUCAUAAAUAUUUGUCUUUUUAGAGAUUUCAACAAGUGACUACAUACGGAACAAAAUAAGUGAAUCUACACUUUAAUAUAUAUAUAUAUAUAUAUAUAUAUAUAUAUAUAUAUAUAUAUAUAUAUAUAUAUGGUAGUUCAUUUGAAAUAUCUAAAAAGACAAAUAUUUAAGAACGGAGAGAGUAAUACUCGGCUUGUGUUUGCGGCUGUCAUUCCAAUUAUGCAUUAUUUUUUGUUUGAUCAUGAACGGUAUACGUGUUGGACGCUUAAAGCAAAUCUAUGUACUUCAUAUUUCACAUUUUUGUUGAAAAAUAACUUUGUUUAGUCCANNNNNNNNNNNNNNNNNNNNNNNNNNNNNNNNNNNNNNNNNNNNNNNNNNNNNNNNNNNNNNNNNNNNNNNNNNNNNNNNNNNNNNNNNNNNNNNNNNNNNNNNNNNNNNNNNNNNNNNNNNNNNNNNNNNNNNNNNNNNNNNNNNNNNNNNNNNNNNNNNNNNNNNNNNNNNNNNNNNNNNNNNNNNNNNNNACACUUCCUUAACCCAAUAGCCAUGAAUCAAGACCUGGAUAGGUCCACGUGCUUUAUUUCAACACAUGACAUCGCAUCUGUGUUGUCACUUAUCCUUCUUCCCACCAUCCCCGAUGCUAGCCUUAGUGCUUGCACAAUCACAACACAUUGAAAUGUUUUCAAUCCUAAAGCGUCUCUCUCCCGGCAUUGAAAUGUUUUCAAUCCUAAAGCGUCUCUCUCCUGGCAUAACAUGAGAAAUCUGUUUUUUUCUUUGACGUUUGGCGAGGCGUGCAUGUGUAAUUAUAGAUGGUUUCUUUUGUCUCCAAUUUUGAUUUUGCUGAGGUAUUCAUUUCUAGUUCGGAUCGGCACCGAUAUUCAAAAAAGACGGAUCCUGCGCUAUUGAUUAAGGAUGCAUCCUAAAUAAUAUUUUUAAAAUGGUUAACAGGUAAAAUAACAUCACAUUCAGGUUCAACACAUUUUUCUAAUCAAAUUUCAUAUAUAACAUGUUAAAUUUGGAGUUAGGGUUUAAAAGGUAUGGUUAUUUUCAAAACACAUUUGAUAUGUCAUGGGGUUGAUUAACCCGAAUAUCAUAUGAGGUUUCCUCCAAAAGCAAAAAAAUCUAACUUAAAACUGACGCACAGGUUAAUUAUCGGAAAUAUCAAAGAGUUUUCUGCAAAAGUAAAAAAAAAAAUCUAAUUUUAAACUGUGCUGCUAGUUUAUUAUCAGAAACUCAGAGGAUUUUCUGUAAAAUAGCAUGACGAACCAAGAAUACCUAUUUCUGUUAGUAGUAAAAUAAAAAAGGUAUAGAUUUUCAAAAUGAAGAACACUCCUUACAUUCACUUUUUAAUUAGUUUUAGUUGUUGUUGGCACCUAUUUAUGCAUUUUUUUUAACAAGAGUCUAGCGACAACGCAUGUGGUAUCAUCCAGUAGCAUUUACAUUUGGGCAUUUUCGCAUGUUAGAUGCACAUUGAUUUGUACUCCCUCCGUCCCAUAAUGUAAGACGUCUUACAUUAUGGGACGGAGGGAGUACCUAUUAAUCAGUUUAUUUGUGUAAUUUUAAUUACUUUGACAUGCAUUUUAUUUUGGACUUUACAGAAUUUUGGAAUUUCCCUGUCUUCACUACAGUAAUCAAACGGUACAAAUAGCAUAGGGUAGCGUUGCAAUGGGCCGCCCUAUGUAGCCGUUUCCCUUUUUUCCCCUUUGGUUUUCUCCAGUGAUUUUUGUCGUUUUUACUUUAUUUUCUUCUAUUUUCUCAUUUCUUUAUUUUUCCUCGGCCUUUCAUUUUUGCCUGUUUUUCUAUUUCUUUUUUUCAUUUUUGUUUCUGUUUGUCAAUCCGUGGAUAUAUUUUAAAUUAUGAACAUUUUCUAAAAUUCAUGAUCCAUUUAAUCUAUUUUCGCAAACUCGUGAACACAUUUUCAAGUUUGUGAAAUAAUUCCUAAAUUUCACACAUCUUUUGAUUUCUCAAGUUUAUAUAAAAUUUUGAACUUUGUCAAAACUGAAAAAAUUGUUUUAAAAUUGUGAACAUUAUUUGUAAUACCACAUAAAUUAUUUGGAGGGGUUAAAAUACCAAAAAAUGGAAUAGACCCCAAAACGCGCACUGGGCUGGCCCACAGUACAUGCAAGUGCAUGUGUGGCAUAUGAUGGGUUCAUGGUGUAUUCUUGCUGAUUUCAGACAGCUUUUUAUAUCUAGACAUAUUUUUUCAUCCGAUUUGGUUCAUUUCUAAAAAAAAUCAUACUUUUAAAAUAAUAAAUUUUACAAAUGUCGAAACAUGUUGACGAAUUUAUAAAAUUGUUCAUGAGUUAAAGAAGUGUUUAAGAAUUUAGAAAUGUCCAGGAUUUCUAAAAUCUUUGUGAAUUUUUGAAAAAUCAUAUUUUUUGUUAAAAUGUAUAUUGUUGAAUUUUUCUUAUAUUUUUUUUAAAAAAAGGGAAACUAAAAUUACUUAUGUUUUUCAAAAAAUAAUCAUGAUUUAGCAAAACAUUCACUAUCUAUACAUACUAAUAAAGGGAGGUAAUAUUCUUUGUUUGGUUUGGACCGCUUUGUUGAUUUUCAUUUCGCCCGUCAUCAAUCACUAGCAAAAGAGCCUAUGCAUUGCAACGGGAAAAAACACGCUCUUAGCUCCAUAAUCAUGAUUGAAAACCUAAUAAGUCCACACCCUUUAAUUUAAAAGGGCAUCACAUUUGUGUUGCUGCUUAUCCUCUUUACUCUCGCGGGCGGUGGCCUCUGUUCUCAUACAACCAUAAUGCAUUUGAAUGUGGUCAACUCUAAGGCGUCUCUCUCCCUCCCCCUCCCCUCCCCCCUCUUUCUCUCUCAUGCUCUACGAAAAUAAGAUGAGAAAUAUUAUAACACCCACGAUGCGGCUAUAUCUCCCACGUGUCGGGGCACGACUUAGAGGCAUAACCGCAUGGUAGGCAUGUCGCAAGAGGGGUAAUCUUUACACAUCUCAUGUACUGAAAUAAGAAAGGGAUAAAGAGUUGGCUUACAAUCGACACUUCACACAAUACAUAAAUAUAGCAUACAUCAUCUAGAAUACAAUCAAGGUCCGACUACGGAACCAACAUAAAUAAAGACAAUCCCAAAUGCUAGAUCCCCGAUCGUCCCAAUUGGGCUCCACUACUGAUCAACAGGAAACGAAACAACACAACGAACAUGAUCUUCAUCGAGCUCCCAUUUAAGCUGAGUUGCGUCACCUGCACUGGUAUCAUCGACACCUGCAACAGUUUGGAAGUAUCUGUGAGUCACGAGGACUCAGCAAUCUCACACCCGCGAGAUCAAGACUAUUUAAGCUUAUGGGUAGGAAAGUGGUAGUGAGGUGGAGCUGCAGCAAGCACUAGCAUAUAUGGUGGCUAACAUACGCAAAUAAGAGCGAGAAGAGAACAAAGCACAGUCGUGAACUAGAAGUGAUCAAGAAGUGAUCCUGAAACUACUUACGUUCAAGCAUAACACAAGAACCAUGUUCACUUCCCGGCCUCCACCGGAAAGAGACCAUCUCGGCUACACGUGCGGUUGAUUCAUUUUAAUUAAGUUAAGUGUCAAGUUUUCUACAAUCGGAUAUUAACAAAUUCCCAUCUGCCUAUAACCGCGGGCAUGGCUUUCGAAAGUUCAAACCCUGCAGGAGUGUCCCAACUUAGCCCAUCACAAGCUCUCACGGUCAACGAAGGAUAUUCCUUCUCCCAGGAAGACCCGAUCAGACUCGGAAUCCCAGUUACAAGACAUUUCGACAAUGGUAAAACAAGACCAGCAAGACCGCCCGAUGCGCCGACAUCCCGAUAGGAGAUGCACAUAUCUCGUUCUCAGGGCAACACCGGAUGAACACUACGUACAGCUAAAACCAGCCCUCAAGUUUCCCCGAGGUGGCGCCGCAAGUGGCUCUGGUUUGGACCAACACUUAGAGAAGCACUGGCCCGGGGGGUUAAAAUAAAGAUGACCCUCGGGAGCGCGACUCCCAAGGGAAAAGUAGGUGGUGGUGAGGCAAAUGGUAAAACCAAGGUUGGACCUUGCUGGAGGAGUUUUAUUUAAAGCGAACUGCCAAGGGGUCCCCAUAACACCCAACCGUGUAAGGAACUCAAAAUCAAGGGACAUAACACUGGUAUGACGAAAACUAGGGCCGCAAGAGUGGAACAAAAUAUCAGGCAUAAGGCCGAGCCUUCCACCGUUUACCAAGUAUAUAGAUGCAUUAAUUAAAUAAGAGAUAUUGUGAUAUCCUAACAUAACCAUGUUCCGACAUGGAACAAACUUCAUCUUCACCUGCAGCUAGCAACGCUAUAAGAGGGGCUGAGCAAAGCGGUAACAUAGCCAAACAAUGGUUUGCUAGGAAAGGUGGGUUAGAGGCUUGACAUGGCAAUAUGGGAGGCAUGAUAAAGCAAGUGGUAGGUAUCGCGACAUAGCAAUAGAGCGAGCAACUAGCAAGCAAAGAUAGAAGUGAUUUCGAGGGUAUGGUCAUCUUGCCUGAGAUCCCGCAAGGAAGAAGAACGAGUCCAUGAAGAAGACAAACGGAUGUAGUCGAACGAAUCCUCACAACUCCGGAAUGAAACCCAAGCUAACACGAGAAUCAACCCGGAAAGAAGCAAGCAACAAAGUAAACAACCAUCACAUAAACAUGGCAUGAUGCACAACCAAGUAUGAUGCAUGCCCGGUUUAAUGAGGCAUGGCAUGGCAAUAUGGACAAACAAUCCUAAAAAUUAAGUGGAGCUCAAUAUGCAACGAGUUGCAUAUUGACGGAGCACCACAUUCAAGUUAUUUAGUUCGAUCUCGAUUAUGAACCUAACAAUAUCAAAUGUUGAUUAACAUGGCAAGAGCUGAAGCAAAUGAAAACUACCUAUCUGGGCAAGUUUAAAUGAGGCCGAAACAACAAACAACAAGUCCGGAAACUCCUCAUGUGCAUAUUUUAGGUUUUGGUACUGUUCUUCCCUAAACCAUAUUUUAGAGUUGUUAAACAUGCAAAGUAAAGCCACCAUGUUAAACUAGGCAUUUUUCUACCCUAUUUACAUAUAAAGUUUAUUAAAAACCGAGCUACGGUUAUUUAGUUAUGAAUUAAAGCAUUUUAACAUGGCAUUUGAACAAAUUUAAACAAAUAUCAUCUUAAACAUUUUUAACAUGCAUGAAAGUGGCAUAUUAUGAAACUAGAUGAAAUUCUAGUCAAGUUACAUAUAUGACAUGUUUUAUUUGGAUGCAUGGUUUGUGAGAUAUGAUAUGCAUGAAGUUUAAGAGCUAAUCCGUCCCUACAAUUAAAAUCGAGCGGUCGAGAAAAAUAGACUAGGAAGUCCAAAUAAGAAAACGGUGAUGUCUUGUAGAUGUUUGGGGAUGUUCCGGACCCAACGGUGAUGACUAUCCGGGUCGGGUUCGGGACAGUUUCAGACGCGCGUGCGAGGAGGGCCGCGGGCUGACGAGAGAGGUUAGGUUGGGCCUGGCGGUAGGCAGUGGACUGUGUAGACGGUCUCGAGCUGAGAGAAGAGAGGAGAGAGAGGCCCGGCGACUGUUUCCGGAAACCGAAAACGUCCGGCGUGUGCCCGGCUAUAAUGCCGCUAUAGUUAUUCGUUGGGGCGUCGAACGGACUCCGAAUGCGAUGAAACUUGGCAGGCGGCCAAUCUACACUAUAACAACACCGCAUGCCAACUUUCAAUCCAUUUCGAGAACAUUUUCCGACCACUUAUAAAAUACUAUUUCGGACAUGCCGCGGGCGCGUGCAAGUGUGUCUGGGCUCAGAACGGACAACGGAAGGAACUGGGAGAUCCGGACUAAUGCAAGUUUUGAAAAACAUGAUGCUGUAAUGCCCAUGAUGACAUGAUGAAAUGCAACACACAAGCAAAAGACUUGGCAACGACAGCGAAUAACUGGAAGACACCUGGCGCAUCGGUCUCGGGGCGUCAAAAAUAUGUUGGUUUUUAGAAUUGUGCAUGCGUGGUUACCAAUAUUUUAUUUCGUCUCAAUUUGGUUUUAGUGGUUGUUUAUUUGCAAUGGGGAUUGCCGCCAAUACGAAAGAAUAACAGACCAUGUGUUAUAGAUUAAGUUUACAUUCAAAAUAAUAUUUAAAAAAAAUUACAGGUAAAAUAAUAUCAUAUUCAGAUACUACACAUUUUUCUAAUCAUAUUUUAUAUAUAACAUGUUAAAAUCGGAGUUACGGUUUAAAAAAUGUGCAUAAUUUAGAAAAUCAAUUUUUUAGAUGGACUGUGAAUUGAUUAACCAAAUAAUCCGGGGGUUUUCUGUUAAAACAAAAAACAAUUCGUUUGACUUACAUAUGAAUGGCGGGUUAAUUACCUCCAAAGUUAGGGGGUUUUCUAAAAACACCACAAAAAAAGGUUUCAACUACGAUUUAAGUUGGACUAUGAAUUAAUUCACGUAAAAUGCAGGGGUGUUUCUAUAAAAGGGAUGACAGACGGGCAGAAAAGGCCUAAGCAUUGUAACGGAAAACAACACAACGCAAGGUGCAAGAAUCAUGAUGUGCAAAUGUGGUAUAGUUAAAGGAUAAACCUCACCCUCGCAAAAAAGGAUAAUUCUUGAAUGCAGAUGUUCACGCGUUGUCGCACCAUUAGAUUGCCACACGAGCUCAAAGAAGAUGUUUGAUUUGGACCAGACUUAUGUCGAAAUUGCUGAUGAGAUUGUGCUUGAGAUCGAUCUUUUGAACAUAUUAUGCUAGAGAGAGAUAAAUGUGCUUAGGCCUUUUACAACGCUAGGUGCUUAGAAAAGUAAAUUGGAUUUUUCUAAAGCACCAAUGUCUAUUUCUAUAGGAGAGGCGCCUAAUUAAGCAUCCACUCUCUACAAAUAAGCCCCGGUGCUUAAAGAAAGAAGGGUUUAUUUCUCAAAGCAUCUCCCCUAAGCGUCUUGUAUUGUACAAAGUCUUAAAAGGCCACUCGGAAAACCAAAAAAGUGAUGGCAUUAUCACUGCUUGAUUUCUAAGGUGGCACUUCGAAAUAUUUUUUGGCUGAGAAUCUUCGCGCUAUGGACCAUGGUAGAUGAAUCAUCCACUUUUCUUUGACCUAGGUCUAUACAUAGUAAGCGUGUCGACACGACACUGAGGCCGGCGGCUAGCGCUAGGAUGUGCCGGAUGUAGGCUACAAGGGAGGCAGGGAUGCCCCUAUCUUGCGCGACGUCUUCAACUUGCCCAAGCUCUACGAAAAUAAAAUGAGAAAUAUGUUGGUUUUUAGAAUUGUACAUGCGUGGUUAUCAAUAUUUUCUUUCGUCUCAAUUUUGUUUUAGUGGUUAUUUAUUUGCAAUCGGGAUUGCUGCCAGUAUGAAAGAAUAAUAGACCGUGUGUUAUAGAUUAAGUUUACAUCCAAAAUAAUAUUUUAAAAAUAUUGACAGGUAAAAUAAUAUCAUAUUCAUAUUCUACACAUUUUCUAAUCAAAUUUCCAUAUAACAUAUUAAAAUCGAAGUUACAGUUUAAAAGAUAUGCAUAAUUUCGAAAAGCAUUUGUUUUAGAUGGACUACAGAUUGAUUAACCAAAUAAUUUGGGGGGUUUUCUAUUAAAACAAAAAAAAUUCAUUUGACUUACAUAUGAAUGGCGGGUUAAUUACCUCCAAAGUCAGGGGGUUUUCUAAAAACACCACAAAAAGGGUUCGACUGCGACUUAAGUUGGACUGCAGGUUAAUUCACAUAAAAUGCAGGGGUGUUUCUAUAAAAAGGACAACGAACGGCCAGAAGCAAUAAUCCCUUUAUUAUUAGGUACUAGCAAAAAGGCUCGUGCGUUGUAACGGGAAACAACACAACGCAAGGUGCAAGCAUCAUGAUGUGCAAAUAUGGUACAAUUAAAGGAUAAAUCUCGCCCUCGUAAAAAAGGAUAAUUCUUGAGUGCAGAUGUUCGCCCACCUGUCUUCCAACCCGGCGCGUCGUCGCACCAUUAUAUUGCAUUAGAUUGCCACGCGAGCUGAAAGAAGACGUGGUUUGAUUUGGACCAGGCUUAUGUGGAAAUUGUUGAUGACAUUGUGCUUGAGAUUCGUCUUUUGAACAUAUUAUGCUAGAAAGAGAUAAAUGCGCUUAGGCCUUGUACAAUGUUAUGUGCUUAUGCUGGUGCUUAGAAAAGUAAAUCAAUUUUUUUAAAGCACCAGUGCCUAUUUCUAUAAGAAAGAUGCCUAAUUAAGUGUUCACUUUUUAUAAAUAAGUACAGAUGUUUAAAGAAAGAACGGUUUACUUUUUAAAGCACCUCCCUUAAACGUCUUGCAUUGUUCAAGGUCUUAAAAGGCCACUCAGAAGACCAAAAAAGUGACGGCGUUAUCAAUGCUUGAUUUCUAAGGUGGCACUUCGAAAUAUUCUUUGGUUGAGAAUCUUCGUGCUAUGGAUCAUUGUUGAUGAAUCAUCCACUUUUCUUUGACCUAGGCCUAUACAUAGUAAGCGUGUAGACAUGGACGCCGAGGCUGGCGGCUAGCGCUAGGAUGGGCCGGAUGUAGGCUACGAGGCAGGCAGGGAUGCCUCUAUCUUGCGCGACAUCUUGAACUUGGGGAGGGAUCCUAAAGUCCUCCACCUCGACCAACUGCAGUGUCAAGUUGAGCGAGCUUGCGUACUAGUGCCUGCAAAUCAUUUGUGUCAUUAGGGAUACAUAUGUACAUGAUGAAUGCACGGUUGCCGCCGCCGUUGCUAUCGACCGCCUACAGUGUGAAAGCUGAGCUUGCUUGCGUUACGGUGCCAGGGAGUUAUAUAUACAUGUUGAACCUAUGCUUGCGGCCACCGCCUUCAUANNNNNNNNNNNNNNNNNNNNNNNNNNNNNNNNNNNNNNNNNNNNNNNNNNNNNNNNNNNNNNNNNNNNNNNNNNNNNNNNNNNNNNNNNNNNNNNNNNNNNNNNNNNNNNNNNNNNNNNNNNNNNNNNNNNNNNNNNNNNNNNNNNNNNNNNNNNNNNNNNNNNNNNNNNNNNNNNNNNNNNNNNNNNNNNNNNNNNNNNNNNNNNNNNNNNNNNNNNNNNNNNNNNNNNNNNNNNNNNNNNNNNNNNNNNNNNNNNNNNNNNNNNNNNNNNNNNNNNNNNNUAUCGCCGGUUUGGGCCGAAAUAACAACCAGCGAACCCAAGCCGAACCCAGCACACCGGGAGGGCGCCUGGGGGUAUCGGCUGAAGCGAAAAGGCGCGUGGGUCCGUGUUGUCGGCGACAGACCGGCCUAUUCCCGCCGUUUCCUCCCUUUUCACUCCAUUUCCCCAGCACUUGCCCCUGUCUCCCCCGCCGCUCCCGCCAUUCUCCUCAGAUCCGGCCGCCAUGCCGUCGAAGAAGUAUGCGCCCCCGCCUCGCCACCGAUACCGCCCAACCAAAGCAGAGGCAUCUGAGGGCACCGAUGGCAAGGCCGCAUGGCUUGUCGAACGCCGAGUGGAAGGCGGACGUUGAGCGCCGGGAGGCGGUCACCACCGAUCGGCAGAACAGGCUCAUCACCAAGAGGGCCAGGGAUGCGGCGGCGGCGACGAAGGGGCAGGGAAGGCGUCUCGCGCGGGGAUGAUGAACCUUCUGCCCGACCACUGCCCACAAGCCCCAUGGGGGAGCCAGCAAAGCUCGCGUCACCGGCCAACUUCUCGCCGGCGCUAUGGGGUACGCGCCCUCGCCUGGCUACUCCGACGGCGACGCGCAUGGCGGCUUCAACCCCAACACCACCUUCCCGCAUGGCACAACGGCACGUGCCUCCCCUCCAGCUUCAACCCCGACCCAAACACUCCCUCCCCUGCGUUCGCCGUUGGCCUCAACACCCAGUAUAGCUACUCGCCGUCGGCGUACUUAGGCUCGCCCAUGCCACCUCUGCGUCGUGUCACCCUACCCUUCGCACACGGUUCGGCGCCACAGUUCAGCAACACCGACACAGACAUGGACGAGAUCAUCACGAGCGACUUGGUCGCCGCCCCUUCGUGCCCCGGGUUCCGCGUGCAAGACAAAAUGAUGGACACCGCUGUCGACAUGGACGACGAGCUCGACGAUGCCGAGGAGGAGGCGGAGCCAGCGCCGAAAGGGAGAAAGAAGAAGCGGGCGCCCAAUGCUAGGCCGGGCGAGCCUCGCGUCAAGUGGACGUCCAAGGAAGACAAAUGCCUCGCCGAAGCAUGGAAACCCGUCAGCAUCGACCCGAUCACCGGCUCGAAUCAGAACGCUGACACGUAUUGGAGAUGUAUCAAGACGGUGUUCGACGAGCGCAAACUGGUCGACCCCGACUUCACCAACAUUCACAUGGAUCGCCGCGACAAGGCCAUGGCGAACCAUUGGGCGACCAUCCAGGCGACCUACAACAAGUGGCAUGGGAUCCUAGAGGAGGUCGCGGCUGGCCCGAAAAGCGGCGCCAACAUCGAGGGGAAGGUAUGGCCAGUCGUUGGCUUAGUUCUUUCGCCGGUACUUCACUGACGCUUGUUCUUCGGCUGUGCAGAUGGUUUGGAUGUCACUACUGGAAUUAGGAUCUUUUCCAUCAGUCGGCUCUUUGUCGUCCGCUAGCUGAUGUAGGGUGGAACCCUAGAUGGCCGAUCUUUCACGAAAGGAGCGGAUCCCGCGAAGAACACGAAGAACACGAGGGAAAUCAUGAGGGGAAACACAAGGGGAAACACGAGAGAAUCACUCAAACCAACAAGAUUAAGUCACACAUGUGCUAGAUCCUCGAAACACGAGAGGAGAUACAAGAUCCAAAGUCAACAAGGGACGAUACAAUGUGUAACCGGUCUUCUCCAUGAGGAGGUCUUGAAUCCACAAGGGGAUCUUCCCGUAAAGGGGUCUUGAAUCCAAGGUGGAUCUUCUCCGAAGAGGGGCCGCGAUCUCUCUCAAGGAGUAGAUCCGAUAUGGACGAGCGAAGCUCUAUCUCUCAAAUGAGCUAUCACAACGCUAACCCUAACUAGGAGGAGGGGAAGGAGUAUAUAUACUCUAAGCCACGAAGGGGUAAGUGGGAAAGGGAUACAUGGGCCUCUGGCCCGACUCUGCGCUCAAGCAGGCGCCGGAUGUCCGGGCUGGGGGCCGGAUGUCGGCCGUUCGCGGGAGGCCGGAUGUACGGGGCAUGGGCCGGAUGUCCGGGCUGAAGUGGCAGUUCGAGUCCUUCUCUGGAUAGCGGAUGCCGGAUUUCCGGGAGGGAUGCCGGAUGUCCGGCGUCGCUGAGGCGCCGGAUGUCCGGGCACACGGGCCGGAUGUCCGGCCGCUGAUGCUUUGGCCGUCUGUUGGUGCAGCUCCUUGGAGGCUGCACAGGCGCUGGAUGUCCGGCCGCUGUAGCUUCAGCAGCUCCAUCUUCUUCUGUCGUCGCUUCCAGGCUUCCCUCACGGAUGGUGUAGUUGUUCCUUGUCACUUGCACUCCUCCUCAACAUCCGUGAAGCUCCGACAAUACCUAUGCAUGCACACGGGAGAAGUGUCAAGUAGUAUACCAUCCUCGAAGGGGUCAAGUGAGCACAUGUAAAGGAGAUGAUUCACCUUUAUGUAUGUGAAGUAGAUGUCACACGUGUCACUUGCCAAACGGACUCUUGACAUGGUGAUGUCCAUAGGAUGCUCCGCAUCAUCUCCCCUCCCUUGGGAAAGAUCCGACCUCGGAUCGGAAACCAAAUCACCAUGGGAAAGAGAUGGCUUCGCCGUGUAGAAGUGGACGCUCACCAAGUACUUGUCAUCUUGAAGCUCGAAAUGGGCACUCUUCAAUGUCGCACCGUCUUGUGAUUCCUUCAAUAGGAGUAAGGACAACAAACACUUGGAAAAACAAAUGUGGUUAGCGUUAGUGCAAAACCAAGCAUUCAAGAGGUUAUUCACCAAACAAGCGUCGUCAUGAUGCAAAGCAUAUGGUGUGACAAAGGAUUGUGACAUGGCAUAUAAGCACAUAAAUUGAGCACAAGCAAAGAUAUCAUGGGGACAAGCAUGUAAAUGUGAGGUAGUGAUGCAAAUAUGUUGGAUAAGUGAAUAAGAAUCUACCUCAAGAUCAUAGCAAACAUGGGCAAAGCGCUCAAUGAAAGGUCUAUGGUAGGCAAAGGAAUCAUUCACAACACCAAAAGAAAUGAAGUGUCUAAACACAUGGGUCAAGUGCAAGACAAUCCAAGCAUAAUGUGCAUAGGGUGUAAUGAAUAUAGUGUGGCACUCAACACAAUAGAAAGAGAAAUUGUUCAUCAUGCGUGAGGCAAUCAAGGCAAGCAUGUAGCAAGCAAUGAGACAUGGCAUAUGUGAAGAAAUGAUAUUGUUGCAACCAAGCAUGUGAUAGGAGCAAAUAAUCCAAGAAUUGGAUGCAACACACAAGGCAUAAAUAUCAUGAUGCAUGGAACGUUGAAAAUGACAAGUUGAAGCAAGAUCUCUAGCAUGUGUGCAAUCAAGUCUCAUGGUGCAAGCAACACAAGUAGUAUGAUCCUCAAUAUCCAUGCUCAUGGUAUGGGGGUUCUCAAAAGAGAAGGAUAUCACCUUGAAAGCAUGUCCUUGUGCGUCCUUCACAAUGCCGAAGUACAAGCAAGUGCGAUGUAGAAUCGUCGUGGUAGGAGGUGGUUCGCUCUCAAGAGCUCAAAUGGUCAACUCACAUGCUGUGGAAGUUGACACGAGGUCCAAGUUUCCUACACAUGCACAAAACAAGGCAAAGAACGUAUGUGCAUGGUAGAUAAACACAUCAUCCAUCAUGAUGGGUCUCUUCUCUUGCACAUAAACAUUAGAAGCACAAGUGCAUGAAUAUUAUGAUGCAACAACGACAAGCAAUCAUGAGAAUCAAGUCGUGCAAGCUAGUAGUGCGAAGAUGCAACAUACUAGAGGAAAUCAUGGCAAUCAUGUCAUGUGAGCAAAUAAUAAGCAUAGGCAAUGCACAUGACAUAUCACAAGCACGAACACAAAGCAAGAUCAUAGUAUAAUCAUAGGCAUGGGGAACAAAGCAAACAUGGCAAUAACAAGUGAUAUCUCCACCAAGCUUGCAUAUACACAUACAAGUAUGAGAAUCAAUCAUCAUGUGUAAUGCAAAGCAUGGGUCACGAAUGCAUGGCAAAGGCAUAGUAAUGAGCAUAUCAUGCAAAGUGAACAUGGCAAGAUGGGCAUAUAAUAUGUAAUGGACAAUAAACCAUAGCCAAGUGAGGGUCAUGUAGAAGGAAUGCGCGAAGUCUUUGCGUGAAGAGAGCGGUGGGAAAGACAAUCCAUGUGAUCCCAAGUCAUUGUUUCUCUCUAGAGCUUGUUUUGUCAACUCGUGGGAUUGCGAGGUUGACAAGUAUUCAUGGGUACCUACACAAAAGAAACACAGACCAAAGAAAUUGUGUAUGUGGUAAACAUACACAUCAUCCAUCAUGAUGUGUAUGUGCACGUGAGAGUUAGCACAAGAUAAGCAUCGCUCAAAGAAAUUUGAUACAUGGUAUAAGAACAUGUCAUCCAUCAUGAAAGAAUAGUUAUUGUGUAUAACAUGAUGGGGACACAAAUUGAGAAUGCAAGUAUAUGGCACAUCAAUAGCAUGUUUAUUCAUGGGAAGCAUAUGGUGCACACAAGUAUUGGGAUCAUGCAAAGAAUGGGAUGAAUCAAAAUCUCCUAAAAUGUAUGAGGAAACUAUGGGGGUCUCCUCAUGAGCAAUAUUGGAAACAUCAUAUGGAGAAAAUGGACAACAUCCAAAACAAUGCAUAUCCGAAGCUAGGUAGUCAUGGCAUGGCAUAUGAGAUAAAUGAUGCAAAGGGAUCAUAUCAAUAUCAUCACAAGAAAAACAAAUGCCAAUAACCAUGGGCUUGUCAUCUAUGCCAUAUGUGCAAAUUGGGUUAAUUUUAAUGGCAUAUGCAUAGUCACUAUGAAGAGAUUGCAAAUAUGACAUAUGAUUGAUCUCAUGCAUAGCAUAUGACAAGUCAAGCGGAUUGUCAAACAUGAUGUGACCUAGAGAAUUGUCACAAGAAAUCCUAUGUAACAUGGCAUCAGAACUAAAAGACUCCACAUGGCAAUCAUCAUACUCAUCAUAAAUGGGUAAAUCAUCGCAUGGGGAAAUCAUACUAGCAUGAAGCAUGUCAAUAGGGGGAUCAACAUCAUGCAAGCAAUCAAUGUCAUGAAUGUCCGCUAGUGGGACUAGAGCAUCACCUUCACCUAUGUUACCUUUGUCAUUCCACUCAUGUGGUGUAGGUGAGGUGGGAAAGACCAAAUGGUGGUCAUCUUCAUCUUGAUGGAACCAUGUGGGGGGUGCAUCAUAUUCCACCAUGGCCAUCAUCUUUUCCAAAGGGAGGACGAAGUCAUCACGAAUCGGCGCGUCAUCAUAGAUGGGACCUAGCACCAAAUGAGAAGACACAAUAGAGGUAGAGAUCAAGUCGUUAGUGUUGAAAGUGGCCUCACAUGACCUAUGAACUCUCUCACUCUCUCUAUGUGGUGGUUCACUCCCUCCCUCAAGGUAGGUGCACUCAAUGUCACAUAUCGUGGAGUCACUCAUCUCACUCAAGUGGUGGGGGUUGUGGCUCUCCUCACAUGGGAAUUGUGGAAACACAUCAUAUAUCGGGCUAGUGGUGAAGUCACUCUCACUCUCAAUAUGGUGGCUAAAGUCACUCAAGUCAACAUAUGUCGCCGUGGUUGAAGGGAAAAUCCCAUGCUCAACCAUCUCGUUGUCGUCGCCGUGGAUGAAGGCCGAAGAUGGCACAUCAUCACUCUCGCCUCCUAAGAUGGAAGCAUCCUCCAUGCUCGUCACCAUGUCGCAUGCCUCCAAAGCAUGUUCCUUGAUUGGCUCCAUAGUCGUAGUCGUCUCCACACCAUCUUGAAAAAGAUUCAAAGUAGACUUGGCACCAUCAAUGCCACAAAGAGGGAUGGCGAUGAAGUCGAACUUGGGAGCAUUGUCUUGGAGCUCGUCGGGCUUGGACAUCUUGGUGGUACUAUCCUCAUGCUCACCUUCUUGGAGCUUGGUCUUCGAGAAGUGUGCUUGGGGUGGAGAAGCCUUGGCCUUCAUGAGUUCUUGUUCCGCCUUGAGAGCACCAAUGUAGUUGUCGUUGAGGGACUUGUAGUUCUUGAGGAAGAUCGUCUUGGAGAUGUCCUUGUGUAAUCCCAUCAUGAAGUGGAACUUCAUCGAAAUGGGGUCGUCCAUGUCGGCUCGUCGCAAGGCAAUCUUCAUCUCCUUGAAGUACUCGUCGAUGGACUUGGAUCCUUGGAUGGUGUUAUCCAAUUGGCGUUGAAGUUGUUCCGUGUAGGUUGGAGGCACAAACUCUCGUCGCAAAGCUCUCUUCGUCUUGGGCCAACUCAUGUUGUAGGUCUCCGAAGGUGCGUGAAGCCACCAUGUCGACGUGUAGUCGUGGAAGUUUCUUGUGGCGCACUUCACUUGAUCUUCGGGAGGGACUUGAUGUAGCUUGAGGUAGUCGUCCAUUAGGUGCUCCCACUCAAGAUACUCCUUGGGUUCUUGAGUCCCAUAGAAAGGAAUCGCGUGGUCGAUGUCGAGGUCGUAGUAGCUUGUGGAAGUCACGUACUUGAGCUUGGGGAGCUUCUCUUGAGCGUAGUCUUGAGGUGCUUGUUGGCGAAGAUGCCAUAUGUCCGUAGGCGAAGGUGCCUUGAAGUCGCUUGGCGAAGAUGCCAAGGGAGAUGGUGAAGUCGUUGAGCGGUUGUUGGUGUUGAGCUCUUGACCUUCACGUCCUUGUUGGUGAUGGUGUCGAUGCCAAUUUGAUUUUGCCGGAGAUGGUAGCUCGGAGACAUGUGCUCUUGAGCGUCUUCUCGAAGAUGAGGAAGACCGCUUGUAGGACUUGAUGAGGGCUUUGAUCUCCUCCAUUUGAGCUUGCAUCUUGGCGUCGUUGGAGUUGUUCAUGGCAUCAAACUCGUCAUUGUUGUUAUAGACCGAAGAUGAAAUGCCUUGCCUAUCCAUCACUCCAAGAGAAAAAUGUGAGUGGUAGAAAGAGAAGAACGAAUGCCAAAUGUACCUUAACCGAAGUUGAAAGUGGAUCAAUGAUCACUCCAAUGUGGACAAGGAAAUAACAUGAUUGGUACCAAUUCUUGUCGGUUUCUCACACCUACACAAAUAAGGCUUAUGGUGGAGCUCGGUGAGGAUAGUGGCACAAAAAGUUGAUGUAAAAUGUUAGCCAGAGUCAAUAAUGUUGAAAGAGAUUCACAAAUUCGCAAGUGAAACAAGUAGACCAAUAAAAAUGAAUGGCACACGGAAACACACACACGGAUAGAUAAAUGGGGUCGUGCAACCAAGGAUGAGCACAAAAUGUGGAAUCCACGGAAAAUGCUCGUGUUGCACAACUCAAGAGAGACGCUAGCACGAUUGCUCAAUAGGCGGAUACGACACUUGUGCACAAACUAUAAGAUGCAAAAUGUAUGAACGUUCUAUCCCAAGUAUGCCAUGUAUGUAUGGUUCCCGGUGUUUCUCACAAGGUGAUCCAAGAUGAUCUUAUAUGCAAGGUGGUAUGAUGCUAUGGCUAUUGCUUACAAGCUUCUUUGCUCUUUCUCUUUUGCUUAAAAGCUUAUUCUUUUUUUUGUAUGGCCACUUUGCGAAAUGCACAAACCAAGGUAGCAAUUGUAUAUAUGCAAGAACAAACUUGAGGCACACGAGAUGAUAUGAUACCAAUAUGAUAUGGUAUGUAUGCAAUGUAUGGUGUAGAUCACUAAUGUGCACAAGUAACGUUGCCGACAAUACUCAAAUAGCUAGUCUCGAUAGGCAAGUAACGCAAAAUAGGCUAGGGGUUAUCAAUCCAAUGGCAAGGGAAUAUACAAUGGAGGGAUACCACGAUACCAAGAUGAUAUGGAGGUUACCGUCCUUGGCGAUGAUGAGUGGCGGUGAUCUUGAUGGAGAUACCAAGAUGAUGGAGACUCGUCCCUAAGUAGCCGAAACACCUUAGAAAAUGGAAAAACCGCGAACUCAAAAUCUCAAAUGUCAAAUGGUGGUAGCGGGAAAGUGGUGGUGGUUUUGGAAGCUCAAUGGAAUUGCGGAAUGGAAAUGAUGGGUUGUGGAGUAUGCAAUGCGGAAGUCGAGGGUAAGGUGGUGGACUAUACACGGUGUCGGAGUUGGAAGCAUGGCCCCUAAGUAGCCGAAACACCUUAGGAGACACAACUAACAACACAAACAAAAUUGGGUUGGUGAAAGUGUAUGGUGGGCAAGCCUAUGCGGGAGUUAUGGUGGUGGUGGUGGUUGAUGAAGAAGAAAUCGUCCCUAAGUAGCCUAAACACCUUAGGAGAGUCGAAUGACUACUCAGGCAACCACAAAUGCUAUAAGGAACAAAAUUGGUCAGGUUGCGGAAGUCGGUGGUGGUUAUGCGGAGGUUGUGGUGGAAGCCCUAGGCAAAGAUGCCAAAGUUCCAAAAAUUUGAUGGAGUCAAAUGGUUAUGGUAAUAUUUUUGUUGGAAGGGGGAUGUCAAGAGCUUUUCAACGAGCUAAAGAACGCGAAAAUCGGACUUCGGAUGAAUUAGUUAUGGACAAAAUGGUGAAACGGGGAUGACUGAGAUGUCAGGGGCCGGACAUCCGGGCUCGGGGCCGGAAAUCCGGGACCUGAUGUCCAGAACCGAGCAGAUUUGGUGCUCUAGGAGCCGGAUGUCCGGCUUGGGGCCCGGAUGUCCGGCCUGAGGCCCGGAUGUCUGGCCCGACGAUUCCUGAUCUCGUUAGGGGCGGAAAUUUUCGAAUUGGGGGCGGAAAUUGAUGAUUUCAAGGGCAAAAUUUGAUGGAUUUCGUGGAUGAAAAGUGGGGAAACUUGGGGUAAGAUAGAUCUACUCAAGACACAAUGAAUCCAUGGAUCAAAAUCAACAAAAUAUCAUCACACCAACAGAUCACAAAAAAAAUUUGUGGCUAUUUUUGGUGGGGAUUUUUGAAAUUGGGGAAUAACACAACAAAAUUAGGCUAGAAAACGAAGAGGGGAGGCUCCGAAAUCGUGAUCAACGUGGCUCAUGAUACCAAGCUGAUGUAGGGUGGAACCCUAGAUGGCCGAUCUUUCACGAAAGGAGCGGAUCCCGCGAAGAACACGAGGGAAAUCACGAGGGGAAACACAAGGGGAAACACGAGAGAAUCACUCAAACCAACAAGAUUAAGGCCUUGUUCGGAGAGCUUCCACUCCACAACUCCACUCCCGGAGUUGGUGGAGUUGCAGUUGAAAACUGCGGAGCAGCUAUUUCCUGACUCCACAACUCCUGGAAUUUUGUGGAGCUGGUGGAAUUCCGAACAGGCGUUAAGUCACACAUGUGCUAGAACCUCGAAACACGAGAGGAGAUACGAGAUCCAAACUCAACAAGGGACGAUACAAAUGGUAACCGGUCUUCUCCAUGAGGAGGUCUUUAAUCCACAUGGGGAUCUUCCCGUAAAGGGGUCUUGAAUCCAAGGUGGAUCUUCUCCGAAGAGGGGCCGCGGUCUCUCUCAAGGAGUAGAUCCAAUAUGGAUGAGCGAAACUCUAUCUCUCAAAUGAGCUAUCACAACGCUAACCCUAACUAGGAGGAGGGGAAGGAGUAUAUAUAGUCUAAGCCACGAAGGGGUAAGUGGGAAAGGGAUACAUGGGCCUCUGGCCCGACUCUGCGCGCAGGCAGGCGCCGGAUUUCCGGGCUGGGGGCCGGAUGUCCGGCCAUUCGCGGGAGGCCGGAUGUCGGGGGCACGGGCCGGAUGUCCGGGCUGAAAUGGCAGUUUGAGUCCUUCUCUGGAUAGGGGAUGCCGGAUUUCCGGGAGGGAUGCCGGAUGUCCGGGCGUUGCUGAGGCGCCGGAUGUCCGGGCACACAGGCCGGAUGUCCGGCCGCUGAUGCUUUGGCCGUCUGUUGGUGCAACUCCUUGGAGGCUGCACAGGCGCCGGAUGUCCGGCCUCUGGCCCGGAUGUCCGGCCGCUGUAGCUUCAGUAGCUCUGUCUUCUUCCGUGGUCGCUUCCAGGCUUCCCUCGCGGAUGGUGUAGUUGUUCCUUGGCGCUUGCACUCCUCCUCAACAUCCGUGAAGCUCCGAUAAUACCUAUGCAUGCACACGGGAGAAGUGUCAAGUAGUAUACCAUCCUCGAAGGGGUCAAGUGAGCACGUGUAAAGGAGAUGAUUCACCUUUAUGUAUGUGAAGUAGAUGUCGCACGUGUCACUUGCCAAACAGAAUCUUGACAUGGUGAUGUCCAUAGGAUGCUCUGCAUCACUAGCUCAUGGCAAAGAAGGUCUUUGCCAUCAGGUUAAGAAAAACUGACGGCAAAGAAAAAGCUGACGACAAAGGUAAUGUUUGCCGUCAGCUACCUCGUUGCCAUCCGCUAGCUAACGUCAUAGAAUCUCUGCCGUCAGCUAGCAGACGGCAAAGAGGGAGGGUGGCGUACUAGCGAGGGCCACCUAACGGCCACUUUCUUUGCCGUACGCUAGAGGACGGCAAAGAAAGUGGCCAACUUUAGCUAGGCUCUUUGCCGUUCGCUAGCAGACGACAAAGAGCUGUGACCUAAGCUAAAAAGCGGCCAGCCCCACAUCCCCUCCCUCUCNNNNNNNNNNNNNNNNNNNNNNNNNNNNNNNNNNNNNNNNNNNNNNNNNNNNNNNNNNNNNNNNNNNNNNNNNNNNNNNNNNNNNNNNNNNNNNNNNNNNNNNNNNNNNNNNNNNNNNNNNNNNNNNNNNNNNNNNNNNNNNNNNNNNNNNNNNNNNNNNNNNNNNNNNNNNNNNNNNNNNNNNNNNNNNNNNNNNNNNNNNNNNNNNNNNNNNNNNNNNNNNNNNNNNNNNNNNNNNNNNNNNNNNNNNNNNNNNNNNNNNNNNNNNNNNNNNNNNNNNNNNNNNNNNNNNNNNNNNNNNNNNNNNNNNNNNNNNNNNNNNNNNNNNNNNNNNNNNNNNNNNNNNNNNNNNNNNNNNNNNNNNNNNNNNNNNNNNNNNNNNNNNNNNNNNNNNNNNNNNNNNNNNNNNNNNNNNNNNNNNNNNNNNNNNNNNNNNNNNNNNNNNNNNNNNNNNNNNNNNNNNNNNNNNNNGCUGCCCCGGCCCGGCUGCCCCGGCCGCCCCGCCCCGACCGCCCGACGCCCUACCCCGCCGCCCAAGCCGCCCCGGCGCCCCACCCCGCCGCUUCGGCGCCCCCUCCUCCAUCCCAGGCACCCCGCACCUGAAGGUGAGACACCCCUCUUUUUUUCUUUUUUCUUUUUUUAGAUUUAGUUUAAUUUAGGCGUUGUUUAGUUUAGGUUUUGUUUUUGUUUUUUAGGUUUAGAUUUAGUUUAGCUUAGGUUAAGUUUAUUAGGUUUAGUUUACGUUAAGAAGAAAGAUGAAAAAAA
RNAcentral lists this long non-coding RNA (20860 nucleotides) under Triticum aestivum (bread wheat). RNAcentral describes it as "long non-coding RNA (TAES_LNC010967)". The record is from RNAcentral. Lineage: Eukaryota; Viridiplantae; Streptophyta; Magnoliopsida; Poales; Poaceae.